CCACUAGAGAAUACCUAGGAAAAAUAGGUAUAAAUAUUAACACGAAUUGCGCAAUUUGUAAAACAAAAGAAUCUCCCAUUCAUAUAUUUUGGGAGUGUGAAAUAGCCAAAAAAUUUUGGGCCACCAUAGGAGUACCUUUCACCAACCCUAGGCCUCAAGAAAACUGGUUAGACUUCCUUAAAGGAAAAUUUACUCAAGUCAGGCAUAUCGAAGUGAGAUGAUUUAAUGCCUUUCCUUUCGUCUUGUGGUCCAUUUGGAAAAAUAGAAAUGAUAACAAUAAAAAUAAUACAAAGAAUAUGAUAAAUACUAGUAAAAUUUUCAAACAAAUAAUGGAAUUCAAGUUACUAGCUAUUGCAACCAAAUCCACUACCACCCAGAUUAAAAUCCAAGUAAAAUGGUAUCCUCCCCUAUAGGUUGGUACAAAAUUAACUUUGAUGGUGCCUUCACUGAAGAAAAUAUGCAGGGCGGCAUAGGUGGACUGAUCCUGAUUCAUAGUGGUGAUUGGAUAGUAGGGUUCCAUGCAAGCUCGGAAAGCACAUCUCCAAUUCAUUCGAAACUAUUAGCCUUUCAACAAGCAUUACAAAUAGUCAUGCAAAGGAACCUUAUGCCUUGUGAAAUAGAGACGGAUGCUACGGAUGUAAUCCGUCUUCUGG
This 653-nucleotide long non-coding RNA is filed under the name Nicotiana benthamiana. Its description in RNAcentral is "long non-coding RNA (NBEN_LNC041921)". Lineage: Eukaryota; Viridiplantae; Streptophyta; Magnoliopsida; Solanales; Solanaceae. The record is from RNAcentral.